AAUGAACGCUGGCGGCGUGCCUAACACAUGCAAGUCGAACGAGAAACCAGCAAUGGUAAGUACAGUGGCGCACGGGUGAGUAAUACAUAGGAAUCUGCCUCUGAGUGGAGAAUACCCUAGAGAAAUUUAGGUUAAUACUGCAUAAGCCCAGAAAUGGGGAAAGGUGGCCUCAAGCUGCCGCUGAGAGAUGAGCCUAUGGCCUAUUAGCUAGUUGGUGGGGUAAAAGCCUACCAAGGCGAAGAUGGGUAGCCGGCCUGAGAGGGUGUACGGCCACACUGGAACUGAGACACGGUCCAGACUCCUACGGGAGGCUG
Molecule: ribosomal RNA, 314 nt
Filed under: uncultured bacterium
Lineage: Bacteria
Description: bacterial SSU rRNA
Rfam family: Bacterial small subunit ribosomal RNA
Source: RNAcentral